AUCUAAAAAUAAAAAUACACAUCAAUCUCAUUGAUGCUGAAAUCCUAGAUCUAACCAUUAGAUCUACCAUUGCGAUCAAGAUAAGAUAGAAAUCAUUACUAGAUCAAUUUGAUUUUGAUCUCCUCUAAUCUAAUGAUUGGAGAAGAUAUUCUUCAGAUUACUCACAGCCACACAAAGUCAUCUGGCCUCUACAAAAAAAUUCAUGUGAAGACUAG
RNAcentral lists this long non-coding RNA (215 nucleotides) under Elaeis guineensis (African oil palm). Its description in RNAcentral is "long non-coding RNA (EGUI_LNC064205)". Lineage: Eukaryota; Viridiplantae; Streptophyta; Magnoliopsida; Arecales; Arecaceae. The record is from RNAcentral.